UGGUUUGAGUGCGAGUAUCUUCGGAAACUCUACAGAUAUUCUUGGGCGGAGGAAUAUUUUUAAAGUGUGGAAACUAAUACGGUUGUAUGUUUUGCUGUAAACUGAAAUCAAUUGAAGUCGUUCAAACCAAUCCUACAUGUGUUACUGUCUCUGCCCAGUAGGAGGCAGGCUUCACCUGCAUAAUGAUGUGGCACCCCGACUGUCUAUUUCAGGAUGAUUCAAAUAUUUACAAGGAUAGAAUCACUUUCAUAUUAAGUAAAGGGAGAGCCUAAGAGAGAAAGAAAGACGUGGGGGGUUGGCAAAAUACAUUCUCUUAUACCUCAAUGGAAAGAUGUGGUAUAGAUUGGGGUGACCUUGUUUAACCCUCUCUGCCUCAUGAGCACCAUAACAACUUGUCUGUGCUAAUUUAGGGUCUCCACAUAGGGUGUGACAUCACAGUGUUUCCUGUUGGCAUGCGGCCAGCCUGUGUUUGUGUCUAAAAGCAGUGGAGGGUGGAGGGUUUCUACUCUCUCUCUCACGCAGCAUGCUGUGAAAAAGAGGCCAUCUUUAAAGGAAACUGCUUCUCGUCGGGUCAAAGGGCAGUGGUUUUUCCCACACUGCAGCUGGGGACACUCUGGGGACAGUGUGACAGGCACAGGACACAUAAAAAAAAAGCCUGUUUAAAGUGUAAGGAGUUCAGAAAGCAAGCUGUAAAACAUAUGAGGUGGUCAAUGAGGGGAUGAGAACAGGAGGAAACACGACUUCACAAACAGGAUCAGCAUGCCUCCAAAGGGAAUGUUAAUGUUGCUGUUGUUGGUGUGCAUGUGCAUGUGUGGACGCGCGUGGGUGUGAAUUUGGGUGUUUGCAGGAGUGCAUGCAUGGAUACUGUGUAUUUCCAUACAAGGUCAGAUGUAUGUAAGGUAUUAUAAUGAUUUAACUGCACAUCUCAGCCCAUGAGAAGUACACUUUGUCAUUGAACACAGUAUAUGACCUGUGAAUCUGUAUGGAAGCCAUCAUAGAAUAAAAGAAAGAGAGCUGUGUAGGGAUGAAACGGUUACCGGUUUCACGACCAACCACAGUAAAAUUCCCGACGAUUAGUAUUACCGUUUCAAAUUUGAAUUAUCAUUAAAAACCGUGUUUGAUUACCACGGGUUGGAAAAACUCGCGGUAAAUACUGUCCAGCAUCAACCAAAUUUAGCAACGGUCUGACGCAGGCGCAGCAUGCAACGUGGGUUUUGUUUUGUGUGAAAACAUGACGGAAGGCAGUGACAGCACUCGGGAGAUUUUUCAGCCUUCCAAGAGGACCACAUCUGAAGUGUGGUCGUAUUUUUUUUUAAAGAGUGUUGAGAAACUUCAUCGAAUAUCACCUUGUCUGCAGAACAACAACCAAAAAAUCGCUGCGAAAGGGCGCAACACUUCACAUCUCUUGGGUCAAUCUUCAUGACCACCACCCCACUACUUUAUAGCGAAUGCAAGAGAUGGACGUACAGCAGGCAAACCCAGUGAUGCUACCGGUCCCUCCUCGUCUACAGUUGUGACACAGACACUCUAGCAAGCAUUUAAAAAGGCAGGCUGCUUAUGCACCCACAUCAAAAAAUGCUCAAGACCUCACUGUAGCCCUUUCCUAUUACAUUGCAAAGGACAUGAUGCCAUUUCAAAUUGUUGAGAAGCCUGAAGGUUGCCGUGCCUCACUACGAAGUGAGUGCUGCUAAUUGUAUUUGUUGUUUAUUUUAUUUGCUUACUUAAGGUUGUGCUCAUUUAAACCUGUGCUAGGGGAACUUCUACCUGUCAUGGCCACAUGGUGCCAUCUUUAAUGUUUUUACUUUAGUGUUUAUGCCCACAAAAAGUGCACAGUGCUGCUAAUUUUAUUUGUCGUUUGUUGGUUUUCAAUAUAAAACUUGGUGAAAUGA
Non-coding RNA from Oncorhynchus mykiss (rainbow trout), 1889 nucleotides. Lineage: Eukaryota; Metazoa; Chordata; Actinopteri; Salmoniformes; Salmonidae. The record is from RefSeq and is a predicted model, not a curated record.